UACAGAGGUCCCAAGCGUUGUUCGGAUUCAUUGGGCGUAAAGGGUGCGUAGGUGGCGCCGUAAGUCGGGUGUGAAAUUUCGGAGCUUAACUCCGAAACUGCAUUCGAUACUGCGGUGCUUGAGGACUGGAGAGGAGACUGGAAUUCCUGGUGUAGCGGUGAAAUGCGUAGAUAUCUGGAGGAAUACCGGUGGCGAAGGCGGCAUCCUGGACCGGCAUUGACGCUGAAGCGCGAAAGCUAGGGGAGCAAACGGG
RNAcentral lists this ribosomal RNA (253 nucleotides) under uncultured bacterium. RNAcentral's name for it is "partial 16S ribosomal RNA". It matches the Rfam family "Bacterial small subunit ribosomal RNA", at positions 524 to 776 of the family's 1533-position model. The record is from RNAcentral.